GAAAGUAAGCAAGGGCAGACGGUGGAUGCCUUGGCUCUCGGAGGCGAUGAAGGACGUGAUAAGCUGCGAAAAGCCCGGGGGAGAUGCAAAUAAUCCUAGAUCCCGGGAUUUCCGAAUGGGGCAACCCGGCAGGCAGGAGGCCUGCCACCAUGCAAAUGGGGCGAACGCGGGGAACUGAAACAUCUAAGUACCCGCAGGAGAAGAAAACAAAAGUGAUUCCGCAAGUAGUGGCGAGCGAACGCGGAACAGCCCAAACCGGUGCCGUUUCGGCGGCGCCGGGGUUGUAGGACCACGCCGUGGCAAGACGGCAGGACAGCGGAAGGCGUUGGAAAACGCCGCCAAAGACGGUGAAAGCCCGGUACGCGCCAUCCUGCCCAAGCCUAGUGGCAUCCUGAGUAACGCGGAGCACGAGGAAUUCUGCGCGAAACAGCGGGGCCCAUCCCGCAAGGCUAAAUACUCCCGGGAGACCGAUAGCGAACCAGUACCGUGAGGGAAAGGUGAAAAGAACCCCGAACAGGGGAGUGAAACAGACCCUGAACCCGUCUGCCUACAAGCGGUCGGAGCACCAUUCAGGUGUGACGGCGUGCCUUUUGCAUAAUGAACCUACGAGUUACUUCCAGUGGCGAGGUUAAGGCGUUCAGCGCCGCAGCCGAAGCGAAAGCGAGUCUGAAAAGGGCGUCGAGUCACUGUGAGUAGACGCGAAACCAAGUGAUCUACCCUUGGCCAGGAUGAAGGUUGGGUAACACCAACUGGAGGUCCGUAUGGUUAUACGUUGAAAAGUGUUCCAAUGAGCUGAGGGUAGGGGUGAAAGGCUAAUCAAACUUGGAGAUAGCUCGUACUCCCCGAAAUGCAUUUAGGUGCAGCCUGCCGGCAGUAUUGCACGAGGUAGAGCGACUGAUUGGAUGCGAGGGCUUCGCCGCCUAUCAAGUCCAGACAAACUCCGAAUGCGCGCAAUACAUUCCGGUGGAGUGAGGGCGCGGGUGCUAAGGUCCGCGUCCGAGAGGAGAAGAAUCCAGACCACCUGCUAAGGCCCCGAAAUGGUGCCUGAGUUGAGAAAACGAAGUCGGACUGCAGAGACAGCUAGGAUGUUGGCUUGGAAGCAGCCAUUCAUUUAAAGAGUGCGUAACAGCUCACUAGUCGAGGAGUCCGGCAUGGAUAAUAAUCGGGCAUAAGGCAUCUGCCGAAGCAGUGGAUCACGCAAGUGAUGGUAGGGGAGCAUUCCAUGUGCGUGGAAGGUCGGGGACGACCCCGGUUGGAGCGCAUGGAAAAGCAAAUGUAGGUAUAAGUAACGAUAAAGGAAGCGAGAAACUUCCUCGCCGAAAGACUGAGGUUUCCUGAUCAACGCUAAUCGGAUCAGGGUAAGUCGGGACCUAAGGAUAAGCCGAACGGCGAAGCCGAUGGAAGAAACGGUCAAUAUUCCGUUACUACUGUAUUGGGUGAAGCGGGGACGGAGAAGUGAAAGCCCUGCCGGCUGACGGAAUAGCCGGUUGAAGGGUGUAGGUGCAGAUGGCCGCAGGCAAAUCCGCGGCUUGAGCCGAACCUGAGAGUAUGCCAAGCGCUUGCGCGAGGCAAGAUGGGCGUAAUCCGGCUCCCUAGAAAAUCCGCUAAACAUAACCAUUACAGUACCCGUACCGCAAACGGACACACGUAGUUGGGUUGAAAAUACUGAGGCGCUCGAGUGAUUCACGGUUAAGGAACUAGGCAAAAUGGUCCUGUAACUUCGGGAUAAAGGACGCCAAUCUCAAGAUUGGCCGCAGAGAAUAGGCCCAGGCGACUGUUUAACAAAAACACAUGGCUAUGCGAAAUAGUGAACAUGAAGUAUAUAGCCUGACACCUGCCCGGUGCCGGAAGGUUAAGAGGAGAUGUCACCGCAAGGGAAGCAUUGAAUUGAAGCCCCGGUAAACGGCGGCCGUAACUAUAACGGUCCUAAGGUAGCGAAAUUCCUUGUCGGGUAAGUUCCGACCUGCACGAAUGGUGUAACGAUCUGGGCACUGUCUCAACCGUGAGCUCGGUGAAAUUGUAGUAUCGGUGAAGAUGCCGAUUACCCGCGAUGGGACGAAAAGACCCCGUGAACCUUUACUAUAGCUUUACAUUGCGUUUGGGCAACCGAUGUGUAGGAUAGGCCGGAGGCUAUGAAUCGGGCACGCCAGUGCCAGUGGAGCCGGCGUUGAAAUACGGCCCUUUGGUUGUUUGAACCCUAACCCGUUAAACGGGGACACUGUAUGGCGGGUAGUUUGACUGGGGUGGUCGCCUCCAAAAGCGUAACGGAGGCUUCUAAAGGUGCCCUCAGACCGAUUGGUAACCGGUCGGAGAGUGUAAUGGCAUAAGGGCGCUUGACUGGGAGACAUACAAGUCGAUCAGGUAGGAAACUAGAGCAUAGUGAUCCGGUGGUUCCGCAUGGAAGGGCCAUCGCUCAAAGGAUAAAAGGUACUCCGGGGAUAACAGGCUGAUCCCUCCCAAGAGCUCAUAUCGACGGAGGGGUUUGGCACCUCGAUGUCGGCUCGUCACAUCCUGGGGCUGGAGAAGGUCCCAAGGGUUGGGCUGUUCGCCCAUUAAAGUGGCACGCGAGCUGGGUUCAGAACGUCGUGAGACAGUUCGGUCUCUAUCUAUCGUGGGCGCAGGAAAUUUGCGGGGAUCUGACACUAGUACGAGAGGACCGUGUUGGACAGACCUCUGGUCUGCCGGUUGUACCGCCAGGUGCACCGCCGGGUAUCUAAGUCUGGAUUGGAUAAGUGCUGAAAGCAUCUAAGCACGAAGCCAGCCCCAAGAUUAGAUUUCCUCAUAGGGUCGUCAAAGACGAUGACGUUGAUAGGUCGCAGGUGUAAGGCCAGCAAUGGCGAAGCCGAGCGAUACUAAUAGCCCGAAACUUUCAUGUC
This 2876-nucleotide ribosomal RNA is filed under the name human gut metagenome. RNAcentral describes it as "bacterial LSU rRNA". It matches the Rfam family "Bacterial large subunit ribosomal RNA". The record is from RNAcentral.